GAUGACUACACCUAGAACUACUAGCAUCACCUUAGUACAUAAUUGGAAAGGACAGGAGUCAAAUUUAUCCUCAAAAUCAGGUAUGACAAGAAGAUUACUAAAGGAACGACAAGUGAUCAACAUUGCCUGUAAGGAAGAUGCUGCACAAGUGGUGUUCAGUAUGGAACAUUCUCAAUUCCAAGAAUCAUUCCUAAAAUGUCAAUUAAUACUAAUAGUAAACAGUGCAGAAGCCAGCUCUUUAUUUGUUUUAUAUGAAUGCCUUUAAACCAAGUUUGUUGAACAGUUCAGUGUGGCUGACAGUGAAUGUUUGUUUAACAGGAAUGCAUAGCAGACCAUGUUAAAAUGUGGCAUUGUCCCAAAAUACAGAAAGACUAAGACAUCCUACAUUUAGCAGCACCUUUUUGUAACAGUAACUUAAAUGAGCAGUAGAGAAAGAGCAUAGGAAAACCUGAAAUGGUUAUAACAAAGAACUAUUCAGUACAUUUCCAGCAUCUUCUAAGUUGACUACAAAAGUCAUGAUUCUACAACUACGAUUAAGCCUUUGCUGUGUGAAGAGACUAUAAUUUUACAUUCCACAAGUCAGUAAAUAUCCCUCUAUUCUUGGGAUGAUUUCUUCAUUUACAAAUUGACUGCACACUGUUUAUGCAUAUGACCACUAUACAGUUUUCAUGUAUAGAUGCUGUUAUGUCAAAUCCUUCAGUUUGGUGUUUGAGGACUACUUUGAUUUGCACUAAUAUUUUCCACAGUAAAGUGGAAAACUAAGUUCUUUGGAAGGGAUUAAUGAUAGCAGCAAGUAAGGUAGUUACCAGUUAUACUUCAAGAAUUUAAAUAUUCCAAAGUCAUUAAUUUGGAUAAGUACAUAUGUAGGAAAGGAUUGGACUAGUGAUCAGCCUGAUGAAAGCUGAUCACAAAUAUUUUAUGAAAGCGUUUUGACUGGAAUAGUUUCUCAAUUUGUAAAAAAUUGUCAAAAAUUAGUACAGAGCUAAUUAACAAAUAGACUGAAUCUGAGGCAUAUUUUUCAUAUAUUAACUGUUAAAAUACUGUGUUUGUAAUACAGUUUUAAAACAGUUUUCUUGGGGGUGGGGGAAAUUGGUUAAAUGUAAGUCAUUCAGGAAGAAACUGAGAUAAGGUAGCAAAACAAGAGUUCACGGUAACUAUUUUGUUAAAUAAAUUAAGAUACAGAUCUGAAGUAGGCA
RNAcentral lists this long non-coding RNA (1196 nucleotides) under Oryctolagus cuniculus (rabbit). RNAcentral describes it as "lncRNA (ENSOCUG00000039059.1)". Lineage: Eukaryota; Metazoa; Chordata; Mammalia; Lagomorpha; Leporidae. The record is from RNAcentral.